UCACAGUGAGGAAGCCCAAUGUUGAGUUCUUGAGGAAUUUAGGAGCUACAGAGCAAGGCAUAUAUGCUGUCUCUUUCUGUCUUGCACUCCUGUAAAUGUUAGCCUCCUUUAACAGCCUAGCUUAAACAGGAAAAGAUUUCAUUCUAAAGCAACACUGAGUGUAAGAGCCUUGAUCUUUCUCAGGCUCUACAUUAAGUUACUCUCAGUUCUCUAUUCAUAUGUAAGCUCUAAGUGCCAAACUAAAAUGCAAAAGACAUUAUUCUUACCACUCAUCAUUUUUUCAUGAGAUGCCAUUGUGCUUGUAUUUAACUUUAUGCUGCUCAUCCUUGCUAAACACAUUCAGCCCAGGAAGCUAUAAGACAUGAGUUAGGCCCACAGGCAUUGUCACAAGGUUUUACAUUGAAAAUAACAGCAAAGCUGUUCAGCUCAGCCCAGACUGUUAGAUAUACCAUCAGUCUUCUGUAAAAAUGAAAAAGCCCACUGCAUACAAUCAAGCAUGUAAGCAGUUAGAACAAGAAAAAUAUGGUUCAGUCUGUUAAGAGUUCAAAGCCUAAGCUCAAUAUGGAAUGAAAAGUGAAUGUUUUAAGUUCCUUUGUAAAACCUCUGUGCUUUGCUUUUGGGACAUCAGCAGAUUGUUGUUUGUUACCUUAGUUAUGUCUCCUCAUGGUCUCAAAAACAGAAAUUUCUUUCAAGCACAAUAGAAUGGAAAUAUAUCUGCACUCGUUAGAAGGUGAGAUGUGGGCAGAGAACCAAAAUAUGCCUGUCAAACUGGUAUGACUGCUGCAUUUACCUGAAUGGAUGUAAAUUAGCAUAUGGACAGUACUGUUUCUCUGAAUCCUGCGUAUUUUAAAGGAUAAUAACAUGCUGUACUCCAGCUAGCGGUUAGUGCAAGGAUUAAGGGCAUCUUGGCAUUAAGGUCAAUAAAAUGUAGUUGGACUCAGUUCAUAGGCAUCUAAAACUAUGCUUUCUGACGUUUCAGCACUGCUUUCACCCAUGUGAUUCAUGCUUACAUGCCACCUGCAGCUGUAAUUAUCUGGGUUAAGUGUAAAGUUUUCUUGGGAACUUCUCUGUGGGCUCUUAGCAGCUCAUUUACCUGUGCUGCUGUAGGAAUUGAUGCAGACCUUAUUUCCUGUGGAAGGUCAUAGCUGCUGAUGCAUUUAACCAAGUCAUCUCCUGCUGCAGGCAUGUGCCAGGAUGCCAUCCAGAGGGACCUGGACAGGCUUGAAAAGUGGGCCUACAACUGAGGUUCUACAAGGCCAACGGCUAGGUGUUGCACUUCGGUCAGGACAAUCCCAGCACAGCAAGGGGAACUAUCCUCAGCCCAACAGCAAAAUAUCCACUGAAGUCACCUCAGCAGCCUGCAUUUCUUCCCCAAUAAGGAUGUAGCUUAUUUCAGGAGUCCAAAGUACUUUUAAGUAUGAGAUGCAGAACAUACUCACUUUCCCCAAAGUUUUUUUCUGAAUUCUGUUCUUAUUUAUUACUUGGCUACAGUAAUAGUGUAUUGUAUAAAAUUAUAUAAAACAAGAUUGUACUAUGCAAAGGGCCCAGUGUAUUUAAUAAACAUGUCCCAUGGUGUCUGGAUUGUUACAUACCAAAUGCCAGGGGCCAAA
Meleagris gallopavo (turkey) is the source of this 1610-nucleotide non-coding RNA. The record is from RefSeq and is a predicted model, not a curated record. NCBI's taxonomy places the organism in Eukaryota, Metazoa, Chordata, Aves, Galliformes, Phasianidae.